GGGGGAUAUUGCACAAUGGGGGAAACCCUGAUGCAGCAAUGCCGCGUGAGGGAAGAAGGUCUUCGGAUUGUAAACCUAAGUAGCCAGGGACGAUAAUGACGGUACCUGGAGAGUAAGCUCCGGCUAACUACGUGCCAGCAGCCGCGGUAAUACGUAGGGAGCGAGCGUUGUCCGGAUUUACUGGGUGUAAAGGGUGCGUAGGCGGGAUGGCAAGUCAGAUGUGAAAUACCGGGGCUUAACCCCGGGGCUGCAUUUGAAACUGUCGUUCUUGAGUGAAGUAGAGGCAGGCGGAAUUCCUAGUGUAGCGGUGAAAUGCGUAGAUAUUAGGAGGAACACCAGUGGCGAAGGCGGCCUGCUGGGCUUUAACUGACGCUGAGGCACGAAAGCAUGGGGAGCAAACAGGAUUAGAUACCCUGGUAGUCCAUGCCGUAAACGAUGAUUGCUAGGUGUGGGGGGACUGACCCCUUCCGUGCCGGAGUAAACACAAUAAGCAAUCCACCUGGGGAGUACGGCCGCAAGGCUGAAACUCAAAGGAAUUGACGGGGGCCCGCACAAGCAGUGGAGUAUGUGGUUUAAUUCGAAGCAACGCGAAGAACCUUACCAGGUCUUGACAUCCAACUAACGAGGCAGAGAUGCGUUAGGUGCCCUUCGGGGAAAGUUGAGACAGGUGGUGCAUGGUUGUCGUCAGCUCGUGUCGUGAGAUGUUGGGUUAAGUCCCGCAACGAGCGCAACCCUUGUCAUUAGUUGCUACGCGAGAGCACUCUAAUGAGACUGCCGUUGACAAAACGGAGGAAGGUGGGGACGACGUCAAAUCAUCAUGCCCCUUAUGACCUGGGCUACACACGUACUACAAUGGCCAUUAACAGAGGGAAGCAAGACCGCGAGGUGGAGCAAAACCCCAAAAAUGGUCCCAGUUCAGAUUGUAGGCUGCAACUCGCCUAUAUGAAGUCGGAAUUGCUAGUAAUCGCGGAUCAGCAUGCCGCGGUGAAUACGUUCCCG
RNAcentral lists this ribosomal RNA (999 nucleotides) under uncultured bacterium. RNAcentral's name for it is "bacterial SSU rRNA". It matches the Rfam family "Bacterial small subunit ribosomal RNA", at positions 356 to 1376 of the family's 1533-position model. The record is from RNAcentral.